AUUGAACGCUGGCGGCAUGCUUUACACAUGCAAGUCGAACGGCAGCGCGGGCUUCGGCCUGGCGGCGAGUGGCGAACGGGUGAGUAAUGCAUCGGACCGUGCCCAGUAGUGGGGGAUAGCCCGGCGAAAGCCGGAUUAAUACCGCAUACGACCUGCGGGUGCAAGCGGGGGACCGAACGGCCUCGCGCUAUUGGAGCGGCCGAUGUCGGAUUAGCUAGUUGGUGGGGUAAAGGCUUACCAAGGCGACGAUCCGUAGCUGGUCUGAGAGGACGACCAGCCACACUGGGACUGAGACACGGCCCAGACUCCUACGGGAGGCAGCAGUGGGGAAUUUUGGACAAUGGGGGCAACCCUGAUCCAGCCAUGCCGCGUGCGGGAAGAAGGCCUUCGGGUUGUAAACCGCUUUUGUUCGGGAAGAAAUCCUCUGGGCUAAUACCCCGGGGGGAUGACGGUACCGGAAGAAUAAGCACCGGCUAACUACGUG
RNAcentral lists this ribosomal RNA (484 nucleotides) under uncultured bacterium. Its description in RNAcentral is "partial 16S ribosomal RNA". It matches the Rfam family "Bacterial small subunit ribosomal RNA", at positions 28 to 507 of the family's 1533-position model. The record is from RNAcentral.